This 63-nucleotide transfer RNA is filed under the name Ruditapes decussatus. Its description in RNAcentral is "tRNA-Thr". Lineage: Eukaryota; Metazoa; Mollusca; Bivalvia; Venerida; Veneridae. The record is from RNAcentral.
GGGUUAAUAGUUAAUAUUAUAAUAAAAGUUUUGUAAACUUUAGUAAGCUUAGUCUUUUACCCU